RNAcentral lists this unclassified non-coding RNA (211 nucleotides) under Hevea brasiliensis (rubber tree). The record is from RNAcentral. Lineage: Eukaryota; Viridiplantae; Streptophyta; Magnoliopsida; Malpighiales; Euphorbiaceae.
GAACUUUCUCUCCAUGGAUUGGCUUCCAACACGUCAUAACUGCUGCUAUCAAACGUCUGAUGAAGAUGCCUCCUCAUAUCAUAAGCACGGGAAGAAACACGCUUCACAAAUUCAUUGGAAGUACCAGGAAUAUUUCCAUCUAAGCUAAGUGCUCUCUCCAUAUCCACAUCCUCACUCCCAUCUUCAGCAUCGCUGUCGCCUUUGUUAGCGC